CAGCAGCCACGGUAACACAGAGGGUGCGAGCGUUAAUCGGAUUUACUGGGCGUAAAGCGUGCGUAGGCGGCUAAUUGAGUCGGAUGUGAAAUCCCCGAGCUUAACUUGGGAAUUGCAUUCGAUACUGGUUAGCUAGAGUGUGGGAGAGGAUGGUAGAAUUCCAGGUGUAGCGGUGAAAUGCGUAGAGAUCUGGAGGAAUACCGAUGGCGAAGGCAGCCAUCUGGCCUAACACUGACGCUGAGGUACGAAAGCAUGGGGAGCAAACAGGAUUAGAUACCCCUGUAGUCCCUGUCUCUUAUAC
Molecule: ribosomal RNA, 301 nt
Filed under: uncultured bacterium
Lineage: Bacteria
Description: partial 16S ribosomal RNA
Rfam family: Bacterial small subunit ribosomal RNA
Source: RNAcentral